This 253-nucleotide ribosomal RNA is filed under the name uncultured bacterium. Its description in RNAcentral is "partial 16S ribosomal RNA". It matches the Rfam family "Bacterial small subunit ribosomal RNA", at positions 524 to 776 of the family's 1533-position model. The record is from RNAcentral.
UACGGAGGGUGCAAGCGUUAUCCGGAUUCACUGGGUUUAAAGGGUGCGUAGGCGGGUAUAUAAGUCAGUGGUGAAAGCUCCAAGCUUAACUUGGAAACUGCCAUUGAUACUGUAUAUCUUGAAUAUCGUAGAGGUUAGCGGAAUGUUGCAUGUAGCGGUGAAAUGCUUAGAUAUGUUACAGAACACCAAUUGCGAAGGCAGCUAACUAUGCGAUGAUUGACGCUGAGGCACGAAAGCGUGGGGAGCAAACAGG